RNAcentral lists this ribosomal RNA (434 nucleotides) under uncultured Lachnospiraceae bacterium. RNAcentral's name for it is "partial 16S ribosomal RNA". It matches the Rfam family "Bacterial small subunit ribosomal RNA", at positions 341 to 792 of the family's 1533-position model. The record is from RNAcentral. Lineage: Bacteria; Bacillati; Bacillota; Clostridia; Lachnospirales; Lachnospiraceae.
ACGGGAGGCAGCAGUGGGGGAUAUUGCACAAUGGGGGAAACCCUGAUGCAGCGACGCCGCGUGAGUGAUGAAGUAUUUCGGUAUGUAAAGUUCUAUCAGCAGGAAAGAUAAUGACGGUACCUGACUAAGAAGCACCGGCUAAAUACGUGCCAGCAGCCGCGGUAAUACGUAUGGUGCAAGCGUUAUCCGGAUUUACUGGGUGUAAAGGGAGCGUAGACGGCAUGGCAAGCCAGAUGUGAAAGGUGGGGGCUCAACUCCCAAGCUGUAUUUGGAACUGUCAAGCUAGAGUAUCGGAGAGGUAAGUGGAAUUCCUAGUGUAGCGGUGAAAUGCGUAGAUAUUAGGAGGAACACCGGUGGCGAAGGCGGCUUUCUGGACGAUAACUGACGCUGAGGCGCGAAAGUGUGGGGAGCAAACAGGAUUAGAUACCCUGGUA